This 336-nucleotide unclassified non-coding RNA is filed under the name soil metagenome. RNAcentral's name for it is "partial contains 5.8S ribosomal RNA, internal transcribed spacer 2, and large subunit ribosomal RNA". The stretch from base 1 to 120 matches the Rfam family "5.8S ribosomal RNA", at positions 35 to 154 of the family's 154-position model. The record is from RNAcentral.
GAUGAAGAACGUAGCAAAAUGCGAUAAGUAAUGUGAAUUGCAGAAUUCAGUGAAUCAUCGAAUCUUUGAACGCACAUUGCGCCCGCCAGUAUUCUGGCGGGCAUGCCUGUUCGAGCGUCAUUUCAACCAUCAAGCCCCAGGCUUGUGUUGGGGACCUGCGGCUGCCGCAGGCCCUGCAAACCAGUGGCGGGCUCGCUAGUCACACCGAGCGUAGUAGCAUACACAUCGCUCAGGGCGUGCUGCGGGUUCCGGCCGUUAAACCCCUUUUUUACCCAAGGUUGACCUCGGAUCAGGUAGGAAGACCCGCUGAACUUAAGCAUAUCAAUAAGCGGAGGA